RNAcentral lists this transfer RNA (64 nucleotides) under Nothybus sumatranus. RNAcentral's name for it is "tRNA-Ala". It matches the Rfam family "tRNA". From Rfam's summary of the family: Transfer RNA (tRNA) molecules are approximately 80 nucleotides in length. Their secondary structure includes four short double-helical elements and three loops (D, anti-codon, and T loops). The record is from RNAcentral. Lineage: Eukaryota; Metazoa; Arthropoda; Insecta; Diptera; Nothybidae. RNAcentral also lists the same sequence under 1 other name.
AGGACUGUAGUUAAAAUAACAUUUGAUUUGCACUCAAAAGAUAUUGAUUAAUCAAUCUGUCUUG